CUGGCAGGGGCCGGCCUGCUAUACAUGCAAGUCGAGCGAAUCGAUGGGAGCUUGCUCCCUGAGAUUAGCGGCGGACGGGUGAGUAACACGUGGGCAACCUGCCUAUAAGACUGGGAUAACUUCGGGAAACCGGAGCUAAUACCGGAUACGUUCUUUUCUCGCAUGAGAGAAGAUGGAAAGACGGUUUACGCUGUCACUUAUAGAUGGGCCCGCGGCGCAUUAGCUAGUUGGUGAGGUAAUGGCUCACCAAGGCGACGAUGCGUAGCCGACCUGAGAGGGUGAUCGGCCACACUGGGACUGAGACACGGCCCAGACUCCUACGGGAGGCAGCAGUAGGGAAUCUUCCGCAAUGGACGAAAGUCUGACGGAGCAACGCCGCGUGAACGAAGAAGGCCUUCGGGUCGUAAAGUUCUGUUGUUAGGGAAGAACAAGUACCAGAGUAACUGCUGGUACCUUGACGGUACCUAACCAGAAAGCCACGGCUAACUACGUGCCAGCAGCCGCGGUAAUACGUAGGUGGCAAGCGUUGUCCGGAAUUAUUGGGCGUAAAGCGCGCGCAGGUGGUUCCUUAAGUCUGAUGUGAAAGCCCACGGCUCAACCGUGGAGGGUCAUUGGAAACUGGGGAACUUGAGUGCAGAAGAGGAAAGUGGAAUUCCAAGUGUAGCGGUGAAAUGCGUAGAGAUUUUGGAGGAACACCAGUGGCGAAGGCGACUUUCUGGUCUGUAACUGACACUGAGGCGCGAAAGCGUGGGGGAGCAAACAGG
This 764-nucleotide ribosomal RNA is filed under the name Bacillus thuringiensis. RNAcentral describes it as "bacterial SSU rRNA". It matches the Rfam family "Bacterial small subunit ribosomal RNA", at positions 30 to 776 of the family's 1533-position model. The record is from RNAcentral. Lineage: Bacteria; Bacillati; Bacillota; Bacilli; Caryophanales; Bacillaceae.